CCCUUAGAUGUUCUGGGCCGCACGCGCGCUACACUGAUGCAUUCAACGAGUCUAAAACCUGGUCUGAUAGGGCUGGGUAAUCUUUUGAAUGUGCAUCGUGAUUGGGAUAGAUGAUUGCAAUUCUUCAUCUUCAACGAGGAAUGCCUAGUAAACGCAAGUCAUCAGCUUGCAUUGAUUACGUCCCUGCCCCUUGUACACACCGCCCGUCGCUCCUACCGAUUGAAUGUUCCGAUGAAUACCAUGGACUGAGAGUAUGAAUGGGUUCGCCUAUUUCUGCUUCUCGGGAAGUGGAGUAAAUCUUAACAUUUAGAGGAAGGAGAAGUCGUAACA
This 330-nucleotide ribosomal RNA is filed under the name uncultured eukaryote. Its description in RNAcentral is "partial 18S ribosomal RNA". It matches the Rfam family "Eukaryotic small subunit ribosomal RNA", at positions 1470 to 1796 of the family's 1831-position model. The record is from RNAcentral.